CACAUGCAAGUCGAGGGGCAGCAUGGUCUUAGCUUGCUAAGACUGAUGGCGACCGGCGCACGGGUGAGUAACACGUAUCCAACCUGCCGUCUACUCUUGGACAGCCUUCUGAAAGGAAGAUUAAUACAAGAUGGCAUCAUGAGUCCGCAUGUUCACAUGAUUAAAGGUAUUCCGGUAGACGAUGGGGAUGCGUUCCAUUAGAUAGUAGGCGGGGUAACGGCCCACCUAGUCUUCGAUGGAUAGGGGUUCUGAGAGGAAGGUCCCCCACAUUGGAACUGAGACACGGUCCAAACUCCUACGGGAGGCAGCAGUGAGGAAUAUUGGUCAAUGGGCGAGAGCCUGAACCAGCCAAGUAGCGUGAAGGAUGACUGCCCUAUGGGUUGUAAACUUCUUUUAUAAAGGAAUAAAGUCGGGUAUGCAUACCCGUUUGCAUGUACUUUAUGAAUAAGGAUCGGCUAACUCCGUGCCAGCAGCCGCGGUAAUACGGAGGAUCCGAGCGUUAUCCGGAUUUAUUGGGUUUAAAGGGAGCGUAGAUGGAUGUUUAAGUCAGUUGUGAAAGUUUGCGGCUCAACCGUAAAAUUGCAGUUGAUACUGGAUAUCUUGAGUGCAGUUGAGGCAGGCGGAAUUCGUGGUGUAGCGGUGAAAUGCUUAGAUAUCACGAAGAACUCCGAUUGCGAAGGCAGCCUGCUAAGCUGCAACUGACAUUGAGGCUCGAAAGUGUGGGUAUCAAACAGGAUUAGAUACCCUGGUAGUCCACACGGUAAACGAUGAAUACUCGCUGUUUGCGAUAUACUGCAAGCGGCCAAGCGAAAGCGUUAAGUAUUCCACCUGGGGAGUACGCCGGCAACGGUGAAACUCAAAGGAAUUGACGGGGGCCCGCACAAGCGGAGGAACAUGUGGUUUAAUUCGAUGAUACGCGAGGAACCUUACCCGGGCUUAAAUUGCAGAUGAAUUACGGUGAAAGCCGUAAGCCGCAAGGCAUCUGUGAAGGUGCUGCAUGGUUGUCGUCAGCUCGUGCCGUGAAGUGUCGGCUUAAGUGCCAUAACGAGCGCAACCCUUGUUGUCAGUUACUAACAGGUUCCGCUGAGGACUCUGACAAGACUGCCAUCGUAAGAUGUGAGGAAGGUGGGGAUGACGUCAAAUCAGCACGGCCCUUACGUCCGGGGCUACACACGUGUUACAAUGGGGGGUACAGAGGGCCGCUACCACGCGAGUGGAUGCCAAUCCCCAAAACCUCUCUCAGUUCGGACUGGAGUCUGCAACCCGACUCCACGAAGCUGGAUUCGCUAGUAAUCGCGCAUCAGCCACGGCGCGGUGAAUACGUUCCCGGGCCUUGUACACACCGCCCGUCAAGCUAUGGGAGCCGGGGGUACCUGAAGUGCGUAACCGCGAGGAGCGCCCUAGGGUAAAACUGGUGACUGGGGCUAAGUCG
This 1432-nucleotide ribosomal RNA is filed under the name uncultured organism. Its description in RNAcentral is "SSU rRNA". It matches the Rfam family "Bacterial small subunit ribosomal RNA". The record is from RNAcentral.